RNAcentral lists this transfer RNA (72 nucleotides) under Chatogekko amazonicus. RNAcentral describes it as "tRNA-Asn". Lineage: Eukaryota; Metazoa; Chordata; Lepidosauria; Squamata; Sphaerodactylidae. The record is from RNAcentral.
UAGACUGAAGCCCGCUGGUUUGGGUGUUUAGUUGUUAACUAAAUUUUCGGGAUCGAGGCCCGUCUGUCUAGG